CGGCGGUCAUAGCGUUGGGGAAACGCCCGGCUCCAUUCCGAACCCGGAAGCCUAAGCCCAACUGCGCCGAUGGUACUGCGAGGGGGACCUCGUGGGAGAGUAGGACGCCGCC
This 112-nucleotide ribosomal RNA is filed under the name Angustibacter aerolatus. Lineage: Bacteria; Bacillati; Actinomycetota; Actinomycetes; Kineosporiales; Kineosporiaceae. The record is from RNAcentral.